CGGAUUAAGGAAACCGGCGCACGGGUGCGUAGCGCGUCUGCAACUUGCCCUUAUCAGGAGGAUAGCCCGGGGAAACUCGGAUUAAUACUCCAUAAGAUUUUGAUUGGCAUCGAUUAAAAUUGAAAGAUUUAUUGGAUAAGGAUAGGCAUGCGUCAGAUUAGUUAGUUGGUAGUGUAACGGACUACCAAGGCGAUGAUCUGUAGGGGGCCUGAGAGGGUGAACCCCCACACUGGUACUGAGACACGGACCAGACUCCUACGGGAGGCAGCAGUGAGGAAUAUUGGACAAUGGAGGGAACUCUGAUCCAGCCAUCCCGCGUGCAGGAAGACGGCCCUAUGGGUUGUAAACUGCUUUUGUAUGGGGAUAAAUCUACCUACGUGUAGGUAGUUGAAGGUACCAUACGAAUAAGCAUCGGCUAACUCCGUGCCAGCAGCCGCGGUAAUACGGAGGAUGCAAGCGUUAUCCGGAUUCAUUGGGUUUAAAGGGUCCGUAGGCGGGCUGAUAAGUCAGUGGUGAAAUUUUGUCGCUCAACGAUAAAACUGCCAUUGAUACUGUUAGUCUUGAGUGAUAUUGAAGUAGCUGGAAUGUGUAGUGUAGCGGUGAAAUGCAUAGAUAUUACACAGAACACCGAUUGCGAAGGCAGGUUACUAAGUAUUAACUGACGCUGAAGGACGAAAGCGUGGGGAGCGAACAGGAUUAGAUACCCUGGUAGUCCACGCAGUAAACGAUGCUAACUCGUUUUCGGG
This 746-nucleotide ribosomal RNA is filed under the name Ornithobacterium rhinotracheale. RNAcentral describes it as "bacterial SSU rRNA". It matches the Rfam family "Bacterial small subunit ribosomal RNA", at positions 82 to 827 of the family's 1533-position model. The record is from RNAcentral. Lineage: Bacteria; Pseudomonadati; Bacteroidota; Flavobacteriia; Flavobacteriales; Weeksellaceae.